AUACGGAGGGUGCAAACGUUAAUCGGAAUUACUGGGCGUAAAGCGCGCGUAGGUGGUUUAGUAAGUCGGAUGUGAAAGCCCUGGGCUCAACCUGGGAAUUGCAUUCGAUACUGCUUGACUAGAGUAUGGUAGAGGGAAGUGGAAUUUCCGGUGUAGCGGUGAAAUGCGUAGAUAUCGGAAGGAACACCAGUGGCGAAGGCGACUUCCUGGGCCAAUACUGACGCUGAGGUGCGAAAGCGUGGGGAGCAAACAGGAUUAGAAACCCCAGUAGUCC
Molecule: ribosomal RNA, 274 nt
Filed under: uncultured bacterium
Lineage: Bacteria
Description: partial 16S ribosomal RNA
Rfam family: Bacterial small subunit ribosomal RNA
Source: RNAcentral